GAUGAACGCUGGCGGCGUGCCUAACACAUGCAAGUCGAACGAAGCACCUUACCUUAUUCUUCGGAUGAAAGUUUGGUGACUGAGUGGCGGACGGGUGAGUAACGCGUGGGGAACCUGCCCUUUACAGGGGGAUAACAGCUGGAACCGGCUUCUAAUACCGCAUAAGCGCACGAGGAGACAUCUCCUUGUGUGAAAAACUCCGGUGGUACAGGAUGGGCCCGCGUCUGAUUAGCUGGUUGGCAGGGUAACGGCCUACCAAGGCAACGAUAAGUAGCCGGUCUGAGAGGAUGAACGGAGACACUGGAACUGAGACACAGUCCAAAAUACUACGGGAGGCAGGAGUGGGGAAUAUUGCAAAAUCGCGGAAACGAUGAUGGAGCAACGAUGCGUGAGUGAAGAAGUAUUUCGGUAUGUAAAGUUAUAUAAGAAGGGAAGAUAUUGACGGUACCUGAAUAAGAAGCUCCGGCUAAAUACGUG
RNAcentral lists this ribosomal RNA (477 nucleotides) under uncultured bacterium. Its description in RNAcentral is "partial 16S ribosomal RNA". It matches the Rfam family "Bacterial small subunit ribosomal RNA", at positions 28 to 507 of the family's 1533-position model. The record is from RNAcentral.